Molecule: long non-coding RNA, 4773 nt
Filed under: Arabidopsis lyrata
Lineage: Eukaryota; Viridiplantae; Streptophyta; Magnoliopsida; Brassicales; Brassicaceae
Description: long non-coding RNA (ALYR_LNC002091)
Source: RNAcentral
CUCUCGCAUUUCCUGAGCUGCGGAUACUUGAAUUGUCGGAUAACAGCUUUACCGGAAGCUUGCCACCAAGUUUCUUUGUUAACUGGAAAGCAUCAUCAGUCAAGAUAAAUGAAGAUGGGCGUAUGUAUAUGGGAGACUACAAAAAUGCUUAUUAUAUCUAUGAAGACACUUUGGAUUUGCAAUACAAAGGUCUAUUCAUGGAGCAGGGGAAAGUCCUUACUUCCUACAGCACCAUUGAUUUCUCUGGAAACAAACUUGAAGGACAGAUUCCUGAGUCCAUUGGUCUGUUGAAGGAAUUGAUUGCGCUCAACUUAUCAAACAACGCCUUUACUGGCCAUAUUCCUAUGUCUUUGGCAAAUGUUACGGAGCUUGAGUCACUAGACCUGUCAAGAAACCAACUAUCAGGGAAUAUUCCUAGAGAACUCGGAAGCCUUUCGUUUUUGGCGUAUGUAAGUGUGGCUCAUAAUCAACUCAAAGGUGAAAUACCACAAGGACCACAGUUUAGUGGGCAAGCUGAAUCAUCAUUUGAAGGGAAUGUAGGUCUAUGUGGUCUUCCUCUCCAGGGAAAUUGCUUUGCGCCACCAACACUCUAUUCAAAGGAAGAAGACGAAGAAGAAGAAGAGGACGAAGUGUUAAACUGGAAAGCAGUGGUUAUCGGGUAUUGGCCUGGACUGUUACUUGGAUUGGUAAUGGCACACGUCAUUGCUUCAUUCAAGCCGAAGUGGUAUGUCAAGAUAGUUGGUCCAGAUAAGGGCAAGCAAGUAGAUCCAGUUAGAUUGUUUAUGACUCUGGAUUCAAGAUGGGACAGUUUUAAUAAUAAGGAUAAUGUAGAAGAAGAAAGUGAUACGAAAAUAUAGAAUGUGGAUAUGUUGUUACCUGAUGUAAGAAAGAAGUUGACUAGUUUCUGUAACUUUUGGUUCCCUAAAUUAAGAUCUCUCUUUUGGCUGAUAAUAUCCUGAUGUAUCUCUUGGUAGAUUGUUGAGGUAGAGGCUUAUGACAUAAGGCAUUGGUUCUUCUCUGAUUCUUGAAUUAACCCGAGCCGAUGUUUCUUAAUGCACGAAAACCGUUGUUUCAGCUUCCUAUUAAGACAAACUGGAUGAAAUGAACAUAAGACAGUCCGAGCCUGUAAGAUCAUACAAGUCUCAAGAAUUCAAUCUCAGAACAGACAUUCACGAGAAUCUCUUUUUUAAAAUGUAAAUGCUACCACUCACAAUUGAUACAAAUCAGUUUAUAUCAUGAGAGGACUUACCAAAUAUAACAAUCUUGUUACACUUUGAACUAACAUUCUCAGAUAACAGAGUAUGCACAACAUAUCAAUCCAGAGUAGCUAAAACCCUAGAAUCAAAUUCACUAAAUUGAUUUCAUUUCAUGAUUCGAUUAUUCUUGCUUAUCAAAUCACGAGAGAAAAAAAAAAAAAAAAAAAAGAGUACAACAAAUGAGAUCACCUGGAACUACUUGAUUUAGGAAGCCUCUACCAAAACGUCGACGAGAGUGACGGUGAUCGCAAUAGCUCCGCCGUCGUCGCAUCAUAAAAUCUCCUUCUCGAUUUGUUUGUUACUAAAGUAGACUUUACAGGAAAUACUAACAAUCUGGUUAAUUAAAUUAUUAUUACCGGUUUUGUCUAAAUUGGUUUACUUACUGCUGGUUUAGCAUUUUAAAAAAUUAGUGCUGCUGGUUCAGCUUCUUUUUACUACAAACAAACACCAAAGAGAUCUACUCUCUUUCCAAAAUUGAUUAUUUUUCCACUAAUUCACAAGCUCUCAAGCAUUAAUCAGUUUUUCUUUUUAUUUUCUUUUAACAGUUCUUGAGAUUGACUGAUAGAGAAACUUAUAACGCAAAGAGAUGUCUAAGUUUUCAAAGUUUGACAACGUCUUCUUCUCCAAUUCACAAACAAAUCAAUACCAAAUCUUAUCCUUAAGACAUUAAAGGUUACAAACUCUUUAACCAAGUCUUCUCCAACCAACCAACCAACAAACAAAAUUUAAUGCCAUUUCAUUGUAAAAGGUCACAAAUUCUUAAAAUAUAAUAGCCCAAGAAAGUUUAAUGAGAAUAUAAAGUUUCAACAACUAUAUCACUUAUUUGCACAAGAAAAUUCAAAGAGAAUAUAAUGUCUUCAUCUUAAAAGAAGUGUAUAUGGCUGCUAUUUUCUAUUUCUAUUUUUAAAUAAGUAAAAAUCUUAUAUCAGAAAUUUUAUCCAAUGCAAAAAAAAAAAAAAAAAGAACACACAUCCUAUGUCUAUUUAAACCAAUCUUCUCCAGCACUUUGCUUAAAUAUUGUUAUUCUUCAUAAAAGUUUUCAUGAAGACCAUAAUGUCGGUGCUCUUACUGUUUUCUAUCUUUGCUGCAAGCUUCACUCUUGUUGUUGGACUUGAUGGUUGUCGUCCCGACCAGAUUCAAGCCAUAACGCAAUUCAAGAACGAGUUUGAUUCCAGAGAUUGCAACCAAACUGACUACUUCAAUGGAGUAGGGUGCGAUAACACAACUGGUGUGGUCACAAAGCUACAACUCCCAAGUGGCUGCCUUCGUGGAACCUUAAAGCCCAACAGUAGCCUCUUCAGCUUGCAGCAUCUUCGUUACCUUAAUCUCUCAAAUAACAACUUCACUUCUGCUUCGCUCCCUUCUGGAUUUGGAAAUCUCAACAAAUUACAGGUCUUGUAUCUUUCCUCUAAUGGCUUUCUAGGUCAAGUUCCUUCCUCAUUUAGUAACCUUAGCCAGCUUUACAUUUUAGACCUUUCCCAUAAUGAGCUCACGGGUAGUUUCCCAUUUGUACAAAAUCUAACAAAGCUCUCGAUUUUAGAGCUUUCCUAUAAUCACUUCUCUGGAGCCAUCCCUUCUUCUCUCCUCACUUUGCCUUUCUUAUCAUCUCUUCAUCUGCGUGAAAACUAUCUCACUGGUUCUAUUGAAGUUCCUAACUCCUCUACCUCAUCUAGGCUCGAGUUCAUGUACCUUGGGAAUAACCAUUUUGAAGGACAGAUCCUAGAGCCUAUCUCAAAGCUCAUCAACCUCAAGGAGCUCGACAUUUCUUUCCUAAACACAAGCUACCCAAUUGACUUAAACCUCUUCUCCUCUCUCAAAUCUUUGGUGAGGCUUGUUCUUUCCGGUAACAGUUUAUUGGCUACUAGUAUAAGUUCAGAUUCCAAGAUCCCACUGAACUUGGAGGAUUUGGUCUUGUUGAGUUGUGGUCUCAUUGAGUUCCCAACCAUCUUAAAGAACCUUAAGAAAUUGGAGUAUAUAGACCUUUCCAACAAUAAAAUAAAAGGGAAAGUCCCUGAGUGGUUGUGGAACCUUCCUCGUCUGGGCAGAGUGAAUCUUUUAAACAAUUUGUUCACUGAUUUAGAAGGUUCGGGAGAAGUUUUACUGAAUUCAUCGGUGAGGUUUUUAGAUUUGGGUUAUAACCAUUUUAGAGGACCAUUUCCAAAACCACCACUCUCUAUCAACCUCUUAUCUGCAUGGAACAAUAGUUUCACAGGAAACAUACCUCUUGAAACCUGCAACCGAAGCUCUCUUGCUGUUCUUGACCUAUCCUACAACAACUUAACUGGUCCAAUUCCUCGUUGUUUGAGUAAUUUCCAAGAGUCUCUCAUUGUAGUGAACCUCCGGAAGAACAACUUGGAAGGAAGUCUUCCAGAUAUAUUCUCUGAUGGUGCCUUGCUUCGGACACUUGACGUUGGCUACAAUCAACUAACCGGGAAGCUUCCAAGGUCUCUUCUGAAUUGCUCUAUGCUAAGGUUUGUAAGCGUAGACCACAACAGAAUCAAAGACACAUUUCCUUUCUGGCUUAAGGCUUUACCUGAUUUACAAGCUCUUACCCUCCGUUCAAACAAAUUCCAUGGCCCUAUAUCUCCUCCUGAUCGAGGUCCUCUUGCGUUUCCCAAGCUGCGCAUACUUGAAAUAGCAGAUAACAACCUUAUAGGAAGCUUGCCACCAAAUUACUUUGUGAAUUGGGAAGCAUCAUCACUCCACAUGAAUGAAGAUGGGAGAAUCUAUAUGGGUGACUACAACAAUCCUUACUAUAUAUAUGAAGAUACAGUGGAUUUGCAAUACAAAGGUCUAUUCAUGGAGCAAGGAAAGGUCCUUACUUCCUAUGCCACCAUUGAUUUUUCUGGGAACAAACUUGAAGGACAGAUUCCCGAAUCCAUUGGUCAUUUGAAGGCAUUGAUUGCACUCAACUUAUCAAACAACGCAUUCACAGGCCAUAUUCCUCCAUCUUUGGCAAACGUGACAGAGCUGGAGUCACUAGACCUCUCAAGAAACCAACUGUCCGGGAAUAUUCCUAAAGGACUCGGGAGCCUCUCGUUUUUGGCGUACAUAAGUGUGGCCCACAACCAACUCACAGGUGAAAUACCACAAGGGACACAAAUCACUGGGCAAUCUAAAUCCUCCUUUGAAGGGAAUGCAGGGCUUUGUGGUCUUCCUUUGGAGGAGACUUGCUUUGGGAGUAAUGCGCCACCAACACAACAGCCUAAGGAAGAAGACGAAGAAGAGGAACAAGUGUUAAACUGGAAAGCAAUGCUUAUAGGGUAUGGGCCUGGACUGCUGUUCGGGUUGGUAAUAGCACACGUUAUUGCUUCAUACAAGCCGAAGUGGUCGGAGAAGCGCAAGGAAGUCAAUCCAGUUAGAUUGUUUAUGACUUUGGAUUCAAGAUGGGAUAGUUUUAAUAAUAAAAAUAACGUAGAACAAAAAAGUGAUAUGUAAAUGUAGUAUGUGGAUAUAUUGUUACCUGAUGUAAGAAAGAGGUUUUACUAGUUAGUUUCUGUAACUUUUGGUUCCCUUA